UGCAAGUCGAGCGAAUGACGAGAAGCUUGCUUCUCUGAUUUAGCGGCGGACGGGUGAGUAACACGUGGGCAACCUGCCCUACAGAUCGGGAUAACUCAGGGAAACCUGGGCUAAUACCGGAUAAUCCUUCGAAUCACAUGUUUUGAAGUUGAAAGGCGCUUCGGCGUCACUGUAGGAUGGGCCCGCGGUGCAUUAGCUAGUUGGUGGGGUAACGGCCUACCAAGGCAACGAUGCAUAGCCGACCUGAGAGGGUGAUCGGCCACAUUGGGACUGAGACACGGCCCAAACUCCUACGGGAGGCAGCAGUAGGGAAUCUUCCACAAUGGACGAAAGUCUGAUGGAGCAACGCCGCGUGAGUGAUGAAGGUUUUCGGAUCGUAAAACUCUGUUGUAAGGGAAGAACAAGUACGUUAGGAAAUGAACGU
Molecule: ribosomal RNA, 424 nt
Filed under: Kurthia sp.
Lineage: Bacteria; Bacillati; Bacillota; Bacilli; Caryophanales; Caryophanaceae
Description: bacterial SSU rRNA
Rfam family: Bacterial small subunit ribosomal RNA
Source: RNAcentral